AUGGUCUUAGCUUGCUAAGGCCGAUGGCGACCGGCGCACGGGUGAGUAACACGUAUCCCCCCUUCCGUCUACUCUUGGACAGCCUUCUGAAAGGAAGAUUACUACAAGAUGGCAUCAUGAGUUCACAUGUUCACAUGAUUAAAGGUAUUCCGGUAGACGAUGGGGAUGCGUUCCAUUAGAUAGUAGGCGGGGUAACGGCCCACCUAGUCUUCGAUGGAUAGGGGUUCUGAGAGGAAGGUCCCCCACAUUGGAACUGAGACACGGUCCAAACUCCUACGGGAGGCAGCAGUGAGGAAUAUUGGUCAAUGGGCGCAGGCCUGAACCAGCCAAGUAGCGUGAAGGAUGACUGCCCUAUGGGUUGUAAACUUCUUUUAUAAAGGAAUAAAGUCGGGUAUGUAUACCCGUUUGCAUGUACUUUAUGAAUAAGGAUCGGCUAACUCCGUGCCAGCAGCCGCGGUAAUACGGAGGAUUCGAGCGUUAUCCGGAUUUAUUGGGUUUAAAGGGAGCGUAGAUGGAUGUUUAAGUCAGUUGUGAAAGUUUGCGGCUCAACCGUAAAAUUGCAGUUGAUACUGGAUAUCUUGAGUGCAGUUGAGGCAGGCGGAAUUCGUGGUGUAGCGGUGAAAUGCUUAGAUAUCACGAAGGACUCCGAUUG
RNAcentral lists this ribosomal RNA (652 nucleotides) under uncultured Bacteroides sp. RNAcentral's name for it is "bacterial SSU rRNA". It matches the Rfam family "Bacterial small subunit ribosomal RNA", at positions 69 to 715 of the family's 1533-position model. The record is from RNAcentral. Lineage: Bacteria; Pseudomonadati; Bacteroidota; Bacteroidia; Bacteroidales; Bacteroidaceae.